This is an RNA transcript of Helianthus annuus (common sunflower), 2830 nucleotides long. It is a transcript of the gene named signal peptide peptidase-like 4, with no coding region annotated. The record is from RefSeq and is a predicted model, not a curated record. NCBI's taxonomy places the organism in Eukaryota, Viridiplantae, Streptophyta, Magnoliopsida, Asterales, Asteraceae. The transcript is spliced from 7 exons.
AUUCCAUCUUUCAUUAGCUAGAUCAAACCCUAAUUGCUCUCUCAACCGAAUGGUGAUUUCCCGUGAAAUCCAUCAAGACCAAUCAAAUCGUUCAUCUUAUUAUCUUCUCCUAUUUCUUAGAUUUAGGGUUUUUAAUGGAGAUUUAUAUACCUGGAAAUUCAGAAGAUGUAGGAGGCUAUGUGGUUGUAUCUAUUGUGGAUAGUUUUGCUGCAAGUGAAAUUUCAACGAGACUUGUACUAUCAAAAGCAAAAGCAAUUUUUACUCAGGUGAGAGUUCAACUAGGUCAGGAUCUACAAGUCGUCUCACAAAGCUAUGUUGAAGAACGACGAAAUUGGUGCCUUCCAUAUGGUUUGCUCUCUUCAUGGUCCUUUAGUUUUGAAAUGGUUAACAAGUGCGUGUGUGUGCACGCGCGCGCGUGUGUGUUUUCUUUUUUGAUUUGAUAAUUACUAAAGAAGAUUUUGAUGAUUAGAUUAUAAUUUUAUUAGUAUAUGUACUAUCUUAUUGCGAUUAAAGACACAAUCAUUAAUUUUACACCUGCGUAAUGUCUUGUAUAAUCAUUUUAUGCUGGUGUUUAGAUAUUGCUGUAAUCCCCAUCUCCAAUCUAUCAGUUUAUUGGUUCAAGUAAGCUUUGAUUCAGUAGGCUUUCGUUUAUGCUCUGUCUCUUUCAUCUCACGUUCAUUGUUGCUCUGAUAAACCCUAAAAUCACAACCAUCUUUUUUCUAUUUAUCGAUUUCAAAAGGUAAGGUUUUUAUUCAUUCACUUGAAGCAAAGUUCAUCCAGGUAUAUCAUCGAAUGUUUUGACGUUUUUGUAGGUUUAAUUUCAAUUUUGAAGUGAAGAGCUAUGCAAAUCGGAAUCCACUUCCAAGGUUUAUAAAUCAAUCAGCAUUUGAAGCUUCAUCCGGACAUUUUUGCAAUGAAGAGCUAUGCAUGUCUUGAAGUUGGAAAUGUGACUUCUGAUCAACUAUUAAAAUAAAUAGGUCGACUAAUAAUCUUUGCAACCUUUGCUGUGAGUAUAUUGGAUUUUUGUUUACUUUAGAGUACAAGUUCCAUAGCCUUUAUACGACUGGUCUACUGGUAGUCAUUUUCUCUUUUGGUAUCCUCAUUACUUCAACGAGGACCGGAUGCAAUAGGUUUUGGUGUUAUAGUACAGGUAAAUCAUACGAGACUUAUAUCUUAAUAUAACAAUUCAUGUGCCUUUUAAUAUUGUUUUAGGUAGAACAAUUUUUUUAUUUACAUGAUUUAUAGGGUCUUUGUUUUUUAGGUAAUUUUAAAUUAUAUAUUUCUUAUCAAAAAGAUUGAAAGCUCAAUAAAGUUUUUGUGUCUUUUGGUCAUAUUUUCAAUUAUAUAUGUAACUGGUCACAUGGAUUCAAUAAAAACACUAGCCUAUAAUGAAACAUGUCAAGUGGGUCAGACUGGUUGAAAGUCUGUUAAAAUGUAUUUUUCAUGCGUACAACCUCCUAAAUCAUUUUCUCUAUAACUUUAGAAUAUCAUUGUAAUAAUAUAAUUUUCGCAUACUUAUUUAGCGCUAUCAUUUUUUACAAGUAAUUUUAGAAAAUGGAGUAGCUGGCCUAUUUUGACCUAGACCACAAGUUUUGUCUGUUUUGACUUUUGAUUCAAAACUGUUUUAACCCGUUACCUGUCAUGUGCUCAUCGCUUUUACUUUGCCCAUUACCCGGCAACUGAAAGUUUUUGAAUUUUGUAAUGGUGUAGCUAAUCUUUAUUUUCCCACAGAACCAUUGAUGGUGUGUGAAGUAGAUGAACAUGAUGACUAAUGUUAAUAUGUCAUCCUUUUAGUCAUGCUUCCACAAGAUGCUUGUGAAAAUUUGAAACAAAGUCUUCAGGAAAAAAAUAAAUGGCAGCGUUCAUUGAAUGCUUUAUUGAAAUUAUUAACUGAGAAUAAUAUACCUUAAAUUAAUUUGGAAGUUUCCAUGUUUUCCACAGUUUAUGUGCAGCUAUACACUCCAAAACGCCCAUCGGUUGAUGUUGCUGAGGUGUUUUUGGCUUAUGAAUGUUGGUACCAUUCUAUGUGCAUCUUAGUGGUCUGCCUGGAGGCCGAAGCAGCUAUUGAGCUGGACAAACUAUUAAAGGAUGCUUCUAAUGAAUAUAUGAGUACGGAGGUUUCUUAUUUCAGUGGUGUCUUUGAGAUUACCAACACAUCAGUGAUUGUGUUUAUUGUGGUUUCAUCAUGUUUCUUAGUUUGGCUUUACAAAAACAUGUCAUACGUGUUCAUUGAGGUUUUGGUUGUCCUAUUCGCCAUUGGUGGGGGCGAGGUAUGUACUCAUUCGCAUAAGAAAAAAAUUAUUUUCUUUGAUUUUGACUUUAAUAAAUUGAUGAGCUCUAUUUUCUUUUUCUCUUUCUCGGGGUCUGCAAACGUGCUUGGUGGCUUUAUUAGCAUGGUAUAUAUGUAAUACAUAUCAGCGGUGGAUUAGAAUACAAUUUAUCUAUUGCUUCAUCUAGAAAUUUCAAUAAAUGCAGUUUCAGAUCGUUUGAGAAUGUUGCAAAGUCAUUUAUCAAAAUCCCCUUUUUAGGAGGGUGUUGCUUUGAUAAUCACAGUAAUCCAGAUAAUUCAAGUUCCUAAUCUCAAGCUGCAGAUUCAGUAGACAGCAGUUGGUUGCCUGCAGCAAUAGAUAGUUUAAUGCCGUUGGAGGCUGGGAAGAUCUGGUAGUUUCAAGGCACUAUUGGGAGCUAUUAUUUUCUCACAAUGACACAAAAAAGAUUAUAUUAUAUUGUUAUGCAUCAGCAACAUCAAGUCUGGGACCACCAGUUGUGAAAGUUAGCUUAUUAAGUAGUGCUAUAAAGUUGUUAAUUUUAUUUUUCUUUCGUUGGAAAA